AGGUAAAACAUGUUGUAUUGAUUUAAAAGGAGGAUUCAAAGUGGAGUUCUGUAGGUAAUAGGACUCUUUCUGUAGGUUAGGAUAGGACUCAUUCUGUAGGUAAUAGGACUCGUUCUGUAGGUUAGGAUAGGACUCAUUCUGUAGGUAAUAGGACUCGUUCUGUAGGUUAGGAUAGGACUAGUUCUGUAGAUAAUAGGACUUGUUCUGUAGUUUAGGAUAGGACUCGUUCUGUAGGUAAUAGGACUAGUUCUGUAGGUAAUAGAACUCGUUCUGUAGGUAAUAGGAUUCGUUCUGUAGGUAAUAGGACUCGUUCUGUAGGUUAGGAUAGGACUUGUUCUGUAGGUAAUAGGAUUCGUUCUAUAGGUAAUAGGACUUUUCAAAUGGUGCACAGACGAUAUUGCGAUAUUGUCAAAACGAUACGAUAUAUCGUCAAAAAUAUCCUGAUAUGUAACCAUAUACACCCCC
This is a long non-coding RNA of Oncorhynchus tshawytscha (Chinook salmon), 465 nucleotides long. Lineage: Eukaryota; Metazoa; Chordata; Actinopteri; Salmoniformes; Salmonidae. The record is from Ensembl.